CGAGUCGAACGGGAAUCUUCGGAUUCUAGUGGCGGACGGGUGAGUAACGCGUAAGAAUCUAACUUCAGGACGGGGACAACAGUUGGAAACGACUGCUAAUACCCGAUAUGCCGCGAGGUGAAACCUAAUUGGCCUGAAGAAGAGCUUGCGUCUGAUUAGCUAGUUGGUGGGGUAAGAGCCUACCAAGGCGACGAUCAGUAGCUGGUCUGAGAGGAUGAGCAGCCACACUGGGACUGAGACACGGCCCAGACUCCUACGGGAGGCAGCAGUGGGGAAUUUUCCGCAAUGGGCGAAAGCCUGACGGAGCAACGCCGCGUGAGGGAGGAAGGUCUUUGGAUUGUAAACCUCUUUUCUCAAGGAAGAAGUUCUGACGGUACUUGAGGAAUCAGCCUCGGCUAACUCCGUGCCAGCAGCCGCGGUAAUACGGGGGAGGCAAGCGUUAUCCGGAAUUAUUGGGCGUAAAGCGUCCGCAGGUGGUCAGCCAAGUCUGCUGUCAAAUCAGGUUGCUUAACGACCUAAAGGCGGUGGAAACUGGCAGACUAGAGAGCAGUAGGGGUAGCAGGAAUUCCCAGUGUAGCGGUGAAAUGCGUAGAGAUUGGGAAGAACAUCGGUGGCGAAAGCGUGCUACUGGGCUGUAUCUGACACUCAGGGACGAAAGCUAGGGGAGCGAAAGGGAUUAGAUACCCCUGUAGUCCUAGCCGUAAACGAUGGAUACUAGGCGUGGCUUGUAUCGACCCGAGCCGUGCCGAAGCUAACGCGUUAAGUAUCCCGCCUGGGGGAGUACGCACGCAAGUGUGAAACUCAAAGGAAUUGACGG
Molecule: ribosomal RNA, 817 nt
Filed under: uncultured bacterium
Lineage: Bacteria
Description: bacterial SSU rRNA
Rfam family: Bacterial small subunit ribosomal RNA
Source: RNAcentral